AGGACGAACGCUGGCGGCGUGCCUAACACAUGCAAGUCGAACGCGCUCCAUUCGGUAGCAAUACUGAUGAAGAGCGAGUGGCGAACGGGUGAGUAGCACGUGAGCAACCUGCCCCGAAGACUGGGACAACACCGGGAAACCGGUGCUAAUACCGGAUAUCCCUAUCGGACCGCAUGAUCUGAUAAGGAAAUGGAUUCCGCUUCGGGAGGGGCUCGCGGCCUAUCAGCUAGUUGGUGGGGUAAUGGCCCACCAAGGCAUCGACGGGUAGCUGGUCUGAGAGGACGAUCAGCCACACUGGGACUGAGACACGGCCCAGACUCCUACGGGAGGCAGCAGUGGGGAAUCUUGCGCAAUGGGCGAAAGCCUGACGCAGCAACGCCGCGUGGAGGACGAAGGCUUUCUGAGUUGUAAACUCCUUUCAGCAGGGACGAUAGUGACGGUACCUGCAGAAGAAGCACCGGCCAACUACGUGCCAGCAGCCGUA
This 484-nucleotide ribosomal RNA is filed under the name uncultured bacterium. RNAcentral describes it as "SSU rRNA". It matches the Rfam family "Bacterial small subunit ribosomal RNA", at positions 26 to 519 of the family's 1533-position model. The record is from RNAcentral.